This 213-nucleotide unclassified non-coding RNA is filed under the name uncultured fungus. Its description in RNAcentral is "sequence contains ITS1". Lineage: Eukaryota; Fungi. The record is from RNAcentral.
UUAUUUUUCCCCUCACUCACAUAAAAUAUCAGGCAAGCACUUGUCAUGAAUCCAAGCCAUUCUAUACUAUUAUAGUUGCGAUAGUUUGUUUGAAGAAGCAGGGCAAAAAGCAAGAGAAAGUGCAGAGUAUGACUCCCUCCCCUUUUUAGCCGUGCAACUUAUGGUAUUCACCGGUUUUCUAUAAUGAUCCCUCCGCAGGUUCACCUACGGAGA